Molecule: ribosomal RNA, 322 nt
Filed under: uncultured eukaryote
Lineage: Eukaryota
Description: partial 18S ribosomal RNA
Rfam family: Eukaryotic small subunit ribosomal RNA
Source: RNAcentral
CCCUUAGAUGUUCUGGGCCGCACGCGCGCUACACUGAGCGGAUCAGCGGGUCAGGUUGCGCGAAAGUGUUUCCUAAUCUUUAAAUCCGCUCGUGAUGGGGAUUGACGGUUGCAAUUUUCCGUCAUGAACGAGGAAUACCUUGUAAGCGCGGGUCAUCAUCCCGCGCUGAAUACGUCCCUGCCCUUUGUACACACCGCCCGUCGCUCCUACCGAUUGAGUGGUCCGGUGAGGCUUUGGGAUCUGAGCGGAAAGAGCGUUUCGCUGUUUCUGCCCGGAAAACUCAGUCGAACCUUAUCAUUUAGAGGAAGGAGAAGUCGUAACA